AGGACGAACGCUGGCGGCGUGCCUAACACAUGCAAGUGGAGCGACGAACCAGGCUUCGGCCUGGGGCAGAGCCGCGAACGGGUGAGUAACACGUGGGUAACCUGCCCUGAUGAUUGGGACAACCCGAGGAAACUCGGGCUAAUACCGGAUGUGCCCGCAAGGGGAAAGGAAGCUUCGGCCUCCGCAUCAAGAUGGGCCCGCGGCCCAUUAGCUAGUUGGUGAGGUAACGGCUCACCAAGGCUUCGAUGGGUAGCUGGUCUGAGAGGACGAUCAGCCACACUGGGACUGAGACACGGCCCAGACUCCUACGGGAGGCAGCAGUGGGGAAUAUUGCGCAAUGGGCGAAAGCCUGACGCAGCGACGCCGCGUGGGGGAUGAAGGCCUUCGGUUGUAACCCUUCAGCAGGACGAAGCGAAAGUGACGGUACCUGCAGAAGAAGCGCCGGCUAACUACGUGCCAGCAGCCGC
RNAcentral lists this ribosomal RNA (467 nucleotides) under uncultured bacterium. RNAcentral's name for it is "SSU rRNA". It matches the Rfam family "Bacterial small subunit ribosomal RNA", at positions 26 to 518 of the family's 1533-position model. The record is from RNAcentral.